Lactuca sativa (garden lettuce) is the source of this 1701-nucleotide non-coding RNA. NCBI's taxonomy places the organism in Eukaryota, Viridiplantae, Streptophyta, Magnoliopsida, Asterales, Asteraceae. The record is from RefSeq and is a predicted model, not a curated record.
CCCUGAUGAAGUCGUACCUAAUCCUUUUAGAAUCCAGAUAUAUAGGCUAAAAUCAAUCGAUUCUGGCCCAUCUUGAAUCCCAACUAUUUCGGCUCCCAUCUCCUUCACAAACUCUCUCAUUUUAUUCUCUCGAAAACGAAAGUUGUCGACCCUGUCAUCCCCCUCAUCAGUCGAUGCAACCACCACCAACACUCUCCUCAUUCUCGAAUUUAUGUUAAAUAACUUGGCUUGCCCUAAUUUAAAUAUUUGCCCCCUCUUCACAUCGCCUCUGCUGGCAACUGCAUCUCUGGUUCUAUCCUUUUCUUUUAAUGCUUUGUUGAAGGCAGGGCGGGUGCCUGGUUUCACCACGAUGCUCUGUAUCUCAAACCAUAAGCCACAAUUUAUCGUCGACCCUGUCGCUACCCUAUUACCUCUCUCCAACCUAGACUUUCGUCGAUCAUUCACCACUAUCUCUACAACACCGCAUCAACAACACCAUCAUGGUUUCUUCCCUCUUACUGUCGCCUUCAAUCACUUGAAAAAGCCUUCUCUACCCUUCAUCAUUAACGUCACCACCACCAUAUCGAUCGCUCAUAUUCCUCUCUUGCACCAACGUCUUCGCAUAUGGCAUGGUUGUAGAGUACUUGAGCCUAUUAAGGAACAAUACUACAUCGUCUCUUAUGAUGAUUUCUAUCAGGUAAGGCUUUCUUUCAUCUCCUUUUUUUCAAUUAAUUUUUUUUUGUGCUUGACAUAAUCUUGUGAAUUAGUUGGCUUUUGUUAUUGCUGUAGAAUUUACUGUAUGACCUGAUGUUCCCUUCAAUCCAGUAAGAGAGUUUACUCUCUCUCUCUCUCUCUCUCUCUCUCUCUCUCUCUCUCUCUCUCUCUCUCUCUCUUAUUUAAUCGACCAUCCUGGUGUUUGUUUGUGUUUACUGUUUGUUAUAGGUUACCAGCAAACCCAAGUAGCAUCCAAUCAUUGUGUGGAGUUAUUGAUCUCCAAUGAAUGUUUCAGUGGAGAAAAUAGACUUCUUUAUCAUCUUUUAUUAUAGUUAUUUCUACAUGAUUUUUCUGAUGGUUCACAAUUUUUGGUUUUGGGAUAGCAAGGCUUAUGAGAGAUAAACAGAGAAAUGAGAUUGGAGGUCAUCUUUUCAAUAACACAAAACGAACAAAUGUAACUAAAGUAUCCAGUCUAAUGUUACUAUUAAUGGUGUUUGACACACGUUGCAAUUGUACUUUUUUGCUCUUAGAAUAAUGGGUGCUCAUAAUGCAGGAAAAAUAACUUUCAUCAGGUGCAAGUUGUGUUCUAUCUGAUACAAAACCAUAUAAAUUUAGGCAUUGUAAAAGGAAACAUCAUGGGGACAACAUUGAGAAAAAGUAGUAACUAAUGUCAUUCCACAAAAUCUCCUGAAGAGCUUGUGGAAAUACUGAGAGAUAAUAAUCAUGAUAAGGUGGGUGGUUCAUUUUCGAAAUUGAUGGACACUAUUACGGAUAUGGAGAUCAGACUAGAUAGAUGAUGAUGGUUGACAUGUUUAUCAUGCAGCUCCAACUAACAACUUUUCUCUUUACAUUCUCUUUUGGGACAAAACAACAGUGUUUUGGGUUGCAAAGUAUGGAAAUAAUCUACAUCAACUUAUUGGCUUAGUAGGACUGUGACCUUGGGAAUGUUGGAUUUUUAGUAAAGAGUAUAAGGCAAUUGUGAAGAAAAUAUUGGUAGCUCCUUUCCCA